This 66-nucleotide transfer RNA is filed under the name Trybliographa sp. ZJUH 20220008. Its description in RNAcentral is "tRNA-Ala". The record is from RNAcentral. Lineage: Eukaryota; Metazoa; Arthropoda; Insecta; Hymenoptera; Figitidae.
UGAGUAAUAGUUAAAGUUAUAACAAUUGAUUUGCAAUCAUUAAUUAUUUUUAUAAAAUUUACUUGA